CAGACAAGUGAACUGAUUAGAAUGCAUAAGAGCCAAUCAAGACGUCCAGUGACAGAUGCAGAGCGGCGUGGGGAGCAGUGCGUCCUCUGGGCUUUAGCUUGAACUCGACAGCCUGGAAAGGGAAGGCUUUGUGUUUACUCGUGGUGUUACCGCUCUCACAAGCAAUUAAAAAAAGACAAAAUAGGAAGCGUUCUUGAACAACUCUUAUCUCACGUUGUAGCCUUCAAACACCAGGAACAGAAAGGAAAAAGCCACAAUGCUUAACAUACUUUGCGUUUAGUUACCUUGCGUUCUGCAUUUGAAGAAAUGGUUCUAAUAGAUGUGCAUGCAGAGGAGCAUCUGGCUGUCUGUUUGAGGUAAAUUGUUAUAAUGGCUAAGCUACCGUAAGCUAUUUUAUUGAAUUUCUAUUUAUUAAAAGGCUUCGAGUGAACUCGAGUCCCCUUUGGGAAACAGCUGUGUGGCGAGUGAGUACAAAGCAUUUAUUGUGAAAGGGAAGAACGGAGCACUUCCUUCGUCGAGGUUGAAAGGAGAGAUGGAGUUUGUGGUCUUCGUUCAGACUACGAGCCAAGACCACAAAGCGGUUGUUGUGCACCGUAUUGAUCGUUUUCAAUAUGUCCAACGUGAUUGGUUUAUGCCACUGUUUAUUUUGCUGCAUGAUAUUUUGUCUGUGUUAAAGUGCUCAUUAUAAAAAAAAAACUCACAUAUAUAAAAAGGCAAAUCAAUUGCUAAAUUGCCCAGUUGCUAAAUGCCCUCAAAGUUUGCAGCCAUGUUGUGGUUCCCAAAUCUGUGUGAGUGUGUAAUGUUCACCAUUCAUCACCCAACACAUUGAUACUAAUAUUUACUAUUAUCUAGAUCUAUUUAACUAAUGAAAACACAUUUUUACACAACGUGUCAGACCUUGUUUUCACUGUAAUUUCACCUUGAGCUCUAAUGGUGUGAGAUGUAUGAGUACAGCCGAUCCGUGUUGUGAGGCUACAUUAUAUUUCUGUCUGAGUGCAGAGAGUACAUCCGUAUGCAGCUGGAUGCCUCUGUCAAGCCUAACGAGCAUGCACAAAAUAAGCAGAUUACCAGGCCUCAGUCUCUUCGGAUGACAUGGAAAUCAGCAGAGGGGGAAGAAUUUAUGUGCAUAGCUUUCAGGAGACUAUGGACCUUCUCACAGCCGACAUGGAAUUGAAAGUGGUCGUCGCGUCAAGGCAUCUGAUCACUGCGUGUUCGCUCGUAGGAAUGGAUAUUCCAACAGCGGACUCAAGUUUGUCAGAAUUGCGACAUGAUCCAAACCUUUUGGGAUCGACAAGUGUUCAAGCUUGACUGAGGAAUUUGGGGCUCCUGCCACAGCCAGAGGACGAGGGGCUUUGUGCAUUUCGGAAGAAGGAAGUGGACUUUCACCGGCUCGGGGAGAAUUUUAACAAGAAAAGGACUUGCUGAAUGUUUCAUACACUUAAUUCUGCAGCCGUCACACCAUUCUGGACUGGAAGGCAAUCUUGCCAGACCAGUUCAGAGGGAGCAGAGAGAGCAGCUCUGUCCAAAUCAACGAUGUGGUUGUCGUUUAAUACAUUGUUAGUAGUACUUUUGAUAGUUUGUGUAAAAGAUCUUCUUUUAGUUAGUUUGUCCACAAGCGCAACACGACCGCACAUUGAGGAAACGGUAGAUUAAAUUUUCGUAAGAGCCUAUACACUGAAAAUUGUUGCUAAAUUAAAAUAAUCAGAAAAAGUCAGAAAAUCUUUAAA
Molecule: non-coding RNA, 1727 nt
Organism: Gasterosteus aculeatus aculeatus (three-spined stickleback)
Lineage: Eukaryota; Metazoa; Chordata; Actinopteri; Perciformes; Gasterosteidae
Source: RefSeq, a predicted model, not a curated record